Bos indicus x Bos taurus (hybrid cattle) is the source of this 1038-nucleotide long non-coding RNA. NCBI's taxonomy places the organism in Eukaryota, Metazoa, Chordata, Mammalia, Artiodactyla, Bovidae. The record is from Ensembl.
AUGGCCCGCGGCGGGCUGGGUGCACCUGCGGGCCCCCGGCUCCCUCCCCCUCGCGCUGGGGGCGGGGCGCGCCCUCACUUCCCAGCCCAGCCCACCCCGCGCGGGAAGGAGGCGGGAGGAGAGGCGUUUCUGGAGAAGUUGAAGGGCUCACCUUCUGGGCAGCGGGCCAACGAGGCCAGACACCGAACACCCACCUCCGGGAAGAAUCAGCGGAGCCGUAACCGGGUCUCCCCGCCCUUCCGAUGGGGCGGAGGGAGGCGAGAGAAGGGAGCGCGCGUGGCGGGGAGCCGGAGAGAGGCGGUCGCAGGCCGGCACGGUCCUCUCACGGGGCCCACUCCGCGGCCCCGGCGCCCGCCGCUCAAAUUGCCGAAAGCUGAAGGAUCUUCGGGGACGAAGCUAGCGCUCGGCCCGGCCCGCUUGCCGCCCGCGUCCCCCAGCCCGCGAGGUCCCAGCCACAGCCUCCGCUCGGGCCGCGGCGCCGCGGGGCAGGUCGCCGGCGCCGGGGUGGCGCGUGUCGGCUGCGGCGCGGCUCCACCGGCACCGUCCCCGGCCCCUGCCCGGGAGAGGCGCGCACCAACCUUGGGGGGGCAGCCUGGGCAGCUUUGGCCGCCUAGCCCUGGCUUAGGCGGAGGCGAGAGGUGGCGGCAUCACCUGCGGCGUGCGGCUACUGCUGCUCCCGGACGCGCCGGGGCGGCGGAGGCGCGCGGCGCCCUGCACCCUGCUCCCGCGGCCCCGCCCGCGGCUGCCACUUCGAAGCGCGGCGGAGGAGCCGGGGCACCACGGGCGGCGGCAGCGGCGGCGACGGGAGCAGCAGCACAUGACUCUGUAACGGGGGGAAUUAGACAAAGCGUAACAUGGACUCCGGGCCCGUGCAGGCGCUGCAGCUUCGGGACCAACCGCAGCCGGCGAGCGCCGCCACUGGCUCGGCCGCAGCCAAUGGGGGCGGGCCCGGGCCUCCAUGUGAUGGCGAGCUCUCUUCCCCCGCGGCUCUCCGGUGCCUGCCGGGGGUCGGGGCGCUUCCGCCGCCGUGCGGGCUGA